CCGCCGCCGCCGCCAGGUUUACCACAAACCAAGUGGUGGUCUUCCGGUGGCGGCGGGAGUAUGGCAGCGCCAGCACCGUCAGCAGGUUCCCUGCGGGGGACCGGAGGAAAGAUAUCAUCAACGAUUAUCAAAAGGACGAGCCCCGAGCCGCAUGAUGGCCUCGCCGCCCCCUCCGCCACGGCGCCACGAGCUGGACUUACCAAAGAACCCGAUGAACAUAAUGACGACGGCGAACACAGCUGUUAGCAUCAUGGCCCAGCGCUGGGCGGGCGCAGGCUCUGCACUUUGGUCCAUUGCAGAUAUUCUGUCAACGAAAUGAAUUUUGUUUGUGUAAGCUUGCUAAAGCUUCUCUUAGAAAGGAACAUAAAUCACUGAAUGAAGUAUUUUAAAGUUCGUUGUAUUGUUUUUGUAUUUCUAAUCUUGCAACAUAAAUAUACCUUGUACUCGAAUAUGAUACUGACGAUCACAUUUU
Penaeus vannamei (Pacific white shrimp) is the source of this 472-nucleotide non-coding RNA. NCBI's taxonomy places the organism in Eukaryota, Metazoa, Arthropoda, Malacostraca, Decapoda, Penaeidae. The record is from RefSeq and is a predicted model, not a curated record.